GGUUAAGCGACUAAGCGUACACGGUGGAUGCCCUGGCAGUCAGAGGCGAUGAAGGACGUGCUAAUCUGCGAUAAGCGUCGGUAAGGUGAUAUGAACCGUUAUAACCGGCGAUUUCCGAAUGGGGAAACCCAGUGUGAUUCGUCACACUAUCAUUAACUGAAUCCAUAGGUUAAUGAGGCGAACCGGGGGAACUGAAACAUCUAAGUACCCCGAGGAAAAGAAAUCAACCGAGAUUCCCCCAGUAGCGGCGAGCGAACGGGGAGCAGCCCAGAGCCUGAAUCAGUGUGUGUGUUAGUGGAAGCGUCUGGAAAGGCGCGCGAUACAGGGUGACAGCCCCGUACACAAAAAUGCACAUGCUGUGAGCUCGAUGAGUAGGGCGGGACACGUGGUAUCCUGUCUGAAUAUGGGGGGACCAUCCUCCAAGGCUAAAUACUCCUGACUGACCGAUAGUGAACCAGUACCGUGAGGGAAAGGCGAAAAGAACCCCGGCGAGGGGAGUGAAAAAGAACCUGAAACCGUGUACGUACAAGCAGUGGGAGCACAGAGCAAUCUGUGUGACUGCGUACCUUUUGUAUAAUGGGUCAGCGACUUAUAUUCUGUAGCAAGGUUAACCGAAUAGGGGAGCCGAAGGGAAACCGAGUCUUAACUGGGCGUUAAGUUGCAGGGUAUAGACCCGAAACCCGGUGAUCUAGCCAUGGGCAGGUUGAAGGUUGGGUAACACUAACUGGAGGACCGAACCGACUAAUGUUGAAAAAUUAGCGGAUGACUUGUGGCUGGGGGUGAAAGGCCAAUCAAACCGGGAGAUAGCUGGUUCUCCCCGAAAGCUAUUUAGGUAGCGCCUCGUGAAUUCAUCUCCGGGGGUAGAGCACUGUUUCGGCAAGGGGGUCAUCCCGACUUACCAACCCGAUGCAAACUGCGAAUACCGGAGAAUGUUAUCACGGGAGACACACGGCGGGUGCUAACGUCCGUCGUGAAGAGGGAAACAACCCAGACCGCCAGCUAAGGUCCCAAAGUCAUGGUUAAGUGGGAAACGAUGUGGGAAGGCCCAGACAGCCAGGAUGUUGGCUUAGAAGCAGCCAUCAUUUAAAGAAAGCGUAAUAGCUCACUGGUCGAGUCGGCCUGCGCGGAAGAUGUAACGGGGCUAAACCAUGCACCGAAGCUGCGGCAGCGACGCUUAUGCGUUGUUGGGUAGGGGAGCGUUCUGUAAGCCUGCGAAGGUGUACUGUGAGGUAUGCUGGAGGUAUCAGAAGUGCGAAUGCUGACAUAAGUAACGAUAAAGCGGGUGAAAAGCCCGCUCGCCGGAAGACCAAGGGUUCCUGUCCAACGUUAAUCGGGGCAGGGUGAGUCGACCCCUAAGGCGAGGCCGAAAGGCGUAGUCGAUGGGAAACAGGUUAAUAUUCCUGUACUUGGUGUUACUGCGAAGGGGGGACGGAGAAGGCUAUGUUGGCCGGGCGACGGUUGUCCCGGUUUAAGCGUGUAGGCUGGUUUUCCAGGCAAAUCCGGAAAAUCAAGGCUGAGGCGUGAUGACGAGGCACUACGGUGCUGAAGCAACAAAUGCCCUGCUUCCAGGAAAAGCCUCUAAGCAUCAGGUAACAUCAAAUCGUACCCCAAACCGACACAGGUGGUCAGGUAGAGAAUACCAAGGCGCUUGAGAGAACUCGGGUGAAGGAACUAGGCAAAAUGGUGCCGUAACUUCGGGAGAAGGCACGCUGAUAUGUAGGUGAAGUCCCUCGCGGAUGGAGCUGAAAUCAGUCGAAGAUACCAGCUGGCUGCAACUGUUUAUUAAAAACACAGCACUGUGCAAACACGAAAGUGGACGUAUACGGUGUGACGCCUGCCCGGUGCCGGAAGGUUAAUUGAUGGGGUCAGCGCAAGCGAAGCUCUUGAUCGAAGCCCCGGUAAACGGCGGCCGUAACUAUAACGGUCCUAAGGUAGCGAAAUUCCUUGUCGGGUAAGUUCCGACCUGCACGAAUGGCGUAAUGAUGGCCAGGCUGUCUCCACCCGAGACUCAGUGAAAUUGAACUCGCUGUGAAGAUGCAGUGUACCCGCGGCAAGACGGAAAGACCCCGUGAACCUUUACUAUAGCUUGACACUGAACAUUGAGCCUUGAUGUGUAGGAUAGGUGGGAGGCUUUGAAGUGUGGACGCCAGUCUGCAUGGAGCCGACCUUGAAAUACCACCCUUUAAUGUUUGAUGUUCUAACGUUGACCCGUAAUCCGGGUUGCGGACAGUGUCUGGUGGGUAGUUUGACUGGGGCGGUCUCCUCCUAAAGAGUAACGGAGGAGCACGAAGGUUGGCUAAUCCUGGUCGGACAUCAGGAGGUUAGUGCAAUGGCAUAAGCCAGCUUGACUGCGAGCGUGACGGCGCGAGCAGGUGCGAAAGCAGGUCAUAGUGAUCCGGUGGUUCUGAAUGGAAGGGCCAUCGCUCAACGGAUAAAAGGUACUCCGGGGAUAACAGGCUGAUACCGCCCAAGAGUUCAUAUCGACGGCGGUGUUUGGCACCUCGAUGUCGGCUCAUCACAUCCUGGGGCUGAAGUAGGUCCCAAGGGUAUGGCUGUUCGCCAUUUAAAGUGGUACGCGAGCUGGGUUUAGAACGUCGUGAGACAGUUCGGUCCCUAUCUGCCGUGGGCGCUGGAGAACUGAGGGGGGCUGCUCCUAGUACGAGAGGACCGGAGUGGACGCAUCACUGGUGUUCGGGUUGUCAUGCCAAUGGCACUGCCCGGUAGCUAAAUGCGGAAGAGAUAAGUGCUGAAAGCAUCUAAGCACGAAACUUGCCCCGAGAUGAGUUCUCCCUGACUCCUUGAGAGUCCUGAAGGAACGUUGAAGACGACGACGUUGAUAGGCCGGGUGUGUAAGCGCAGCGAUGCGUUGAGCUAACCGGUACUAAUGAACCGUGAGGCUUAACCUU
RNAcentral lists this ribosomal RNA (2906 nucleotides) under Escherichia coli. Its description in RNAcentral is "23S ribosomal RNA". It matches the Rfam family "Bacterial large subunit ribosomal RNA". The record is from RNAcentral. Lineage: Bacteria; Pseudomonadati; Pseudomonadota; Gammaproteobacteria; Enterobacterales; Enterobacteriaceae.